GUAUUACACCAUAGCAGACACACAUCGAUCAGAUUUUCUACUUAUAUUUUGUCAAUCAUUGAUUUAUUUCCAGAGUCUCCUAAAGGAAAAGUUAAGAAGCAAGAACUUGUGGUGUCCAACGGGAAGGUCAAACCAGCUGUUGUAAAGAAAGAAGCUGUUGUCUCUGAAGAAAAGACAAAACCUUCCACAACAAAGAAAGAUCCUGUGGAAAAAGGCAAGGACAAAAUAACUCCUACAAAGAAAGAGCCUGCAAUCUCCAAAGAAAAAGUCAAGGCAACCACUAGCAAGACAACCACACCCACUACCAAGAAAGUUGUUUUAGAACCCGAGCCCCCUAAAGAAAAAACCACUCCAAGAGUCCCCACUAUGAGGAAAGGUAACCACACAAAUGUAGUGGUGCCAAUGGUCAAAGCCACCGCAAGAGUUGUCGCUAUAAGACCCAUAUCUACAAAAAAAGGUCCUGCGAUGAAGGAGAAGCUAACUAACGCACCUGAAGCAGCAAAACAGAAACCGAAAGCGGCAGAGAAACAAAAAGACAAGGUGAAGGAUGAGAAGACAUCAGACGCCAAAGCUAAAGCUACACAUUCUGUGAAGACUGCCCAGCCCACUAAACCUCUAAGUAAAUAUUCGAUCCCGAAGCAAGACAUGUCCUUUGUUUUGAUAAGCAGGUCAAUUCCUGUCUUUUGUUUGUUUACCACGUGAAUCCAUGUAGGGCUUAAUGCUUUCCUUAUCUUGCAUAAAACUGGAGAAGCCACAAAGGAGUGGUUUCAAGGGUUUGAAUACACCUGUCAUGCUAAAUAGC
RNAcentral lists this long non-coding RNA (802 nucleotides) under Salmo trutta (river trout). RNAcentral's name for it is "lncRNA (ENSSTUG00000013793.1)". The record is from RNAcentral. Lineage: Eukaryota; Metazoa; Chordata; Actinopteri; Salmoniformes; Salmonidae.